RNAcentral lists this ribosomal RNA (253 nucleotides) under uncultured bacterium. RNAcentral's name for it is "partial 16S ribosomal RNA". It matches the Rfam family "Bacterial small subunit ribosomal RNA", at positions 524 to 776 of the family's 1533-position model. The record is from RNAcentral.
UACGGGGGGUGCAAGCGUUGUUCGGAAUUACUGGGCGUAAAGGGCUCGUAGGCGGCCAACUAAGUCAGACGUGAAAUCCCUCGGCUUAACCGGGGAACUGCGUCUGAUACUGGAUGGCUUGAGUUUGGGAGAGGGAUGCGGAAUUCCAGGUGUAGCGGUGAAAUGCGUAGAUAUCUGGAGGAACACCGAUUGCGAAGGCAGCUCACUAAGCUUUAACCGACGCUGAGGCACGAAAGCGUGGGGAUCAAACAGG